UUCUCCCUUUCUACUUCUUCGUAAUCUUUUUUUCCUUCCGAAUCUCCUUUACCCAUUGUGUUAGGAGUUUGUUAGGAUAUUGGAAUUGACUCUUUCACAGGCAAUAUACUUAUAUAUAGGUCUAUAAUCUGUACAGAUUUACACACAGAAAAUGAGCAGAUAAUACAUUUACAGUUUCAAUUUUUCCUCUCUCUCUCUCAACAAUUUCUUUAGCAAGAUUUGGCUCUAUUAAGUUCCGCGGCGUGAUCGGUAUAUUAUCGAGAGGUAAAUGCUAAUUGAUACAAAGACAUGAGGACGAAAGAGCAUCUGGAUCUUGGAUUGGGCUCAUAUCCUUCAUGGAAUGACAUAGUGUUGGAAAAACUGCAUUGACGACGAUAACAAAAGGUAAACAUAUUUACUGCAGUUGUCAACCCAUUCCGUCUUUAAGGUAUUCCUUUUUGUUGAAAACCAAUACCAUCAAGUGCUCUCACCAAAAAAACUGAACCAAUUACUAGAAUAAUAGAGGAUAAAACUCUUCCAGCAAUAACAUAAGUUAAUAAUCCUAAGUUCUUUAGCCAUGUUGUUGGCAAUAUUUAUGAGAGCAACUAAAAAGACAACGGUUUCUGUGUCUACUAUUUUCCGGCCACCAAUACGAAUUUGCAUUUGGGAAUAACUUUUGCAAAUUGCCGCCUUUUAAUAUUAGGAACUCAAUUGCAACUAGGUAUAGAUCAAGAUACAUGAAAAUUGAUAUUAUGACUCUCCCUUUUUUCCCAAAAGCAAAUUCACCAAUUUGAUAAUGCAUCUUUAUUGUUGUGAGACGCUCAUGCAUUUUUAUAGAAGGGACCUUGUAUAACAACAUAUAAUUGCUACAAAAAAAGAUCAAACCCAGUAGGUUUUGCCUCUGCUUGUGUUUGAUGAUACUUUUUUUGUAGCAAUUCUACGUUGCUAUACAAGAUUCUUGCUACAAAAAUGCAUGAGAGCUUCACCAGUAAUCAAGACAUAUCAUGACAUUGGUGAAUUUGCUUUGGGAACAAAGGGAGAGUCAUAAUAUCAAAUUUCAUGUAUUUUGAGUUAUAAUGAUCGUAGUUGAGUUCCUAAUAUUAAAAGGUCACAAUUUGCAAAAACUAUUCCCAAAUAAAAAUUUUCAUAUUUAUCACUUAAAAAAAGUAGUGAGAGAAGUAUUUGCCUUUCUAGUUGAUUACAUAAAUUGCCAACAACAUGGUUUAAAAGCUUAGGGUUAUUGGCGUAUAUUUUUGCUGGAGGAGUUUCGGCCUAUAUUAUUCUAGUUGCUUUAGUUUUUUGGGCGGGUGCACUUGAUGAUAUUGGUUUUCAAUAGAAAAGAACACUUAGGAGAUGGAUGGAUUGAUAGCUGCAUUAAAUAUGUUCACGGUCCCAAAACUAUGCAAUUCCAUGAAGAAUAUAAGCCCUUCAACAUUUGCUUUAAACAGGAGAAGAAUUCAAGAAUUAUCAUCCAUUUAAUACAUACGUCGUGUUAUACCAAAUCUCAGCCUUCCGUAUUUUUGUUAUCUGAGAUAGCUUAUGGCAAUUAAAAUAAUUUGACACUUUUAACAUGUUUGGAAGUUGCUGCGCGUUAAGCGGCUGAUGUUCUUUAAUUUUCUAAACCAUAUGCAGCAUUUUAAUUUGAGAUUUGUUGUUCAUUUGAGCU
Long non-coding RNA from Nicotiana attenuata, 1645 nucleotides. RefSeq lists it as uncharacterized. Lineage: Eukaryota; Viridiplantae; Streptophyta; Magnoliopsida; Solanales; Solanaceae. The record is from RefSeq and is a predicted model, not a curated record. The transcript is spliced from 2 exons.